This 425-nucleotide ribosomal RNA is filed under the name uncultured bacterium. RNAcentral's name for it is "partial 16S ribosomal RNA". It matches the Rfam family "Bacterial small subunit ribosomal RNA", at positions 354 to 796 of the family's 1533-position model. The record is from RNAcentral.
GUGGGGAAUAUUGGGCAAUGGGGGAAACCCUGACCCAGCAACGCCGCGUGAAGGAAGAAGGUUUUCGGAUCGUAAACUUCUAUCCUUGGUGAAGAUAAUGACGGUAGCCGAGAAGGAAGCCCCGGCUAACUACGUGCCAGCAGCCGCGGUAAUACGUAGGGGGCAAGCGUUGUCCGGAAUGAUUGGGCGUAAAGGGCGCGUAGGCGGCCUGGUAAGUCUGGAGUGAAAGUCCUGCUUUUAAGGUGGGAAUUGCUUUGGAUACUGUCGGGCUUGAGUGCAGGAGAGGUAAGUGGAAUUCCCGGUGUAGCGGUGAAAUGCGUAGAGAUCGGGAGGAACACCAGUGGCGAAGGCGACUUACUGGACUGUAACUGACGCUGAGGCGCGAAAGUGUGGGGAGCAAACAGGAUUAGAUACCCUAGUAGUCC